AUUGAACGCUGGCGGCAGGCCUAACACAUGCCAGUCGAGCGGAUGAAGGGUGCUUGCUCCUGGAUUCAGCGGCGGACGCGUGAGUAAUGCCUAGGAAUCUGCCUGGUAGUGGGGGAUAACGUCCGGAAACGGGCGCUAAUACCGCCUACGACCUGAGGGAGAAAGUGGGGGAUCUUCGGACCUCACGCUAUCAGAUGAGCCUAGGUCGGAUUAGCUAGUUGGUGGGGUAAAGGCCUACCAAGGCGACGAUCCGUAACUGGUCGGAGAGGAUGAUCAGUCACACUGGAACUGGGACACGGUCCAGACUACUACGGGAGGCAGCAGUGGGGAAUAUUGGACAAUGGGCGAAAGCCUGAUCCAGCCAUGCCGCGUGUGUGAAGAAGGUCUUCGGAUUGUAAAGCACUUUAAGUUGGGAGGAAGGGCAGUAAGUUAAUACCUUGCUGUUUUGACGUUACCAACAGAAUAAGCACCGGCUAACUUCGUG
Molecule: ribosomal RNA, 484 nt
Filed under: uncultured bacterium
Lineage: Bacteria
Description: partial 16S ribosomal RNA
Rfam family: Bacterial small subunit ribosomal RNA
Source: RNAcentral